This 439-nucleotide ribosomal RNA is filed under the name uncultured bacterium. RNAcentral's name for it is "partial 16S ribosomal RNA". It matches the Rfam family "Bacterial small subunit ribosomal RNA", at positions 338 to 795 of the family's 1533-position model. The record is from RNAcentral.
CCUACGGGGUGCAGCAGUGAGGAAUAUUGGGCAAUGGAGGCAACUCUGACCCAGCCAUGCCGCGUGAGUGAAGAAGGUUUUCGGAUUGUAAAGCUCUUUCGGCUGUGACGAUGAUGACGGUAGCAUCUAAAGAAGCCCCGGCUAACUUCGUGCCAGCAGCCGCGGUAAUACGAAGGGGGCAAGCGUUAUCCGGAUUUACUGGGUGUAAGGGAGCGUAGACGGCAGCACAAGUCUGGAGUGAAAUCCCGGGGCUUAACCCCGGAACUGCUUUGGAAACUGUGCGGCUGGAGUGCAGGAGGGGUAAGCGGAAUUCCGAGUGUAGCGGUGAAAUGCGUAGAUAUGAGGAGGAACACCGGUGGCGAAGGCGGCUUACUGGACUGUAACUGACGUUGAGGCUCGAAAGCGUGGGGAGCAAACAGGAUUAGAUACCCCUGUAGUC